GUAGGAACGCAGCGGUCUGUGUCCCUGCUUUUCCACCCUGCGGAAUCUUUGUGAUGUCUGGUGCUGGGAGAAGCAGGCGCUGUCCAGAGGAAUCUGGGGUAAAUGAACUAAAGCCUGCCUGUGUUUGGGGCUUCCAAGACUGAGUGGCUGCUGAAUUGACUUUAUCCUUAACACAGAAGAUACUGCUUUGGACUCCCUGUUUGCUUUAUGAGUAGUGUCUCUGAGGAAGGAAAAGGAAAUAUAAUGAAAAAGAGUUCAGAAAAUUUCAGAGUCUCUUACCAGUGUUCUGAAAGAAUGAUGGCAAAGGAAGAGACAUGAAAGACUUGGAAAGGGUUGCUGUACCCAAAUGGUGGUACGAAGUGUAUGAUCAUGGAGGAUUGGACCCACAAAUUCCAGAACAAAGCUGUGCCAUCUCAGGACCCUGCCAUUUCCCAAAAAAGGUAUCUUGUUACCAGACAACAAGUCCCAGAACUCCAUGCAGGUGGUUUAGGACUUUGUGUCACUCAAGGAUGUAGCUGUUAACUUUGCUGAGGAAGAGUGGAGAGAGCUGGACUCUGCUCAGAGAGCUUCGUACAGGGAUCUCAUGCUAGAAAAUUGCAAGAAUCUGGUCUUCUUGGCUUACUGACUUGGUCAUCGCCUUGGUCCUCAUGAUUGCAAGAUGCUGCUGCAGCCUGAAAAGCUGAGCUGUCCAUCAAUUUGGAAAGGAAGUCAGAGUUUCAGACAUCUUGUACAUGUAGGGGUGGCAGUUGUUUGGGACCUGUUUCAUAUCUUGUAUGUAUUUUGUUACCUCUAUGGUAUCUAGCAUUAAGCAUCAAAUGGAUGCAGAGUAAAUAAUGAAUGAAUGAAAGCUGCUCUGGAUGAAGAGGGGACAGGCAAGUGGAAAUAUUUUCUAAGUUAUUUAUUGGAUCAGACCUGGCUUUUGGACAAAUGAACACACUCAAAGGGCACUUUAUGGUUAGGAAAGGAUGAAAUGAGGAAAGAUGUUUCAGGAGGGAGAGGAAGUGCUAGUUCACUGGAGAGUAUUGUGCCCAUUUCCUCCUUUUCUCAGGAGUAGAAGGCCUCUGAGAAGACAGCUGAAGUACAGAUAGUGACUGAGAUGUAGAGAGUUCCACUGUUCCACCUCCAGCCAAAUCAAAAGAAACUUUCCCAGAUCUGUUGAAUGACUACCUCACUGUGAGAGACUCCUAUCCCAGGAUCAGCAAGAAGG
Non-coding RNA from Castor canadensis (American beaver), 1207 nucleotides. Lineage: Eukaryota; Metazoa; Chordata; Mammalia; Rodentia; Castoridae. The record is from RefSeq and is a predicted model, not a curated record.